Molecule: ribosomal RNA, 409 nt
Filed under: uncultured organism
Description: bacterial LSU rRNA
Rfam family: Bacterial large subunit ribosomal RNA
Source: RNAcentral
GGACAGAAAGACCCUAUGAAGCUCUACUGUAGUUUGGAAUUGGGUUCGGGCUCUUCUUGCGCAGCCUAGGUGGGAGGCUAUGAAGAUAAACUUUUGGGUUUAUUGGAGCCAACAGUGAGAGACCACUCUAGAGGAGCUAGAAUUCUAAUGGCGUUCCUUGAAGCAGGACGCUUGACAGUUUCAGAUGGGCAGUUUGACUGGGGCGGUCACCUCCUAAAAGGUAACGGAGGUGUGCAAAGGUUCCCUCAGGCUGGACGGAAAUCAGCCGUAGAGUGUAAAGGCAGAAGGGAGCUUGACUGCAAGACCUACAAGUCGAGCAGGGGCGAAAGCCGGCCUUAGUGAUCCGACGGUUCCGAGUGGAAGGGCCGUCGCUAAACGGAUAAAAGUUACUCUAGGGAUAACAGGCUGA